RNAcentral lists this long non-coding RNA (339 nucleotides) under Lactuca sativa (garden lettuce). RNAcentral describes it as "long non-coding RNA (LSAT_LNC008321)". Lineage: Eukaryota; Viridiplantae; Streptophyta; Magnoliopsida; Asterales; Asteraceae. The record is from RNAcentral.
UUAGUGAUGAGGACGAUGAUGAUGAUGAUGAUGAAGAUGAUACAGAGGCACUUUUAGCAGAGCUUGAACAAAUCAAGAAGGAACGAGCCGAGGAAAAACUACGCAAAGUGAGUUGGUCUUUCUUAAACAUAUUAUUAUUAUUAUUUAUUAUUAUGUUUUUUCUUUAAUAAGAAUCUUUUCCUCACUUGAGAUUUGUUUAAUUAUAUAUGACAUGGAUUUGGUUUGUACAGGAACGUGAAGAGCAAGAAGAGGAGCUUAAACUGAAAGAGGCUGAGUUGAUAAGAGGGAACCCUUUGCUUAAUAAUCCAACUUCCACUUCCUUCAAUGUUAAACGAAGGU